This 66-nucleotide transfer RNA is filed under the name bovine gut metagenome. It matches the Rfam family "tRNA". Rfam says of the family: Transfer RNA (tRNA) molecules are approximately 80 nucleotides in length. Their secondary structure includes four short double-helical elements and three loops (D, anti-codon, and T loops). The record is from RNAcentral.
GGGCGUAGUUCAAUGGUAGAACACUAGCCUUCCAAGCUGGAUACGAGGGUUCGAUUCCCUUCGCCC